This 254-nucleotide ribosomal RNA is filed under the name uncultured bacterium. Its description in RNAcentral is "partial 16S ribosomal RNA". It matches the Rfam family "Bacterial small subunit ribosomal RNA", at positions 524 to 776 of the family's 1533-position model. The record is from RNAcentral.
UACGUAGGGCGCAAGCGUUGUCCGGAAUUAUUGGGCGUAAAGAGCUCGUAGGCGGUGUGUCACGUCGGCCGUGAAAACCUGCAGCUUAACUGUGGGCGUGCGGUCGAUACGGGCAUCACUGGAGUUCGGCAGGGGAGACUGGAAUUCCUGGUGUAGCGGUGAAAUGCGCAGAUAUCGGGAGGAACACCAAUUGCGAAGGCAGCUUGCUGGGACGGUACUGACGCUGAGGCGCGAAAGCGUGGGGAGCAAACAGG